Molecule: ribosomal RNA, 340 nt
Filed under: uncultured eukaryote
Lineage: Eukaryota
Description: partial 18S ribosomal RNA
Rfam family: Eukaryotic small subunit ribosomal RNA
Source: RNAcentral
CCCUUAGAUGUUCGGGGCCGCACGCGCGCUACACUGAAGGACUCAGCGUGUCUCUCCCCCUAUCCCGAAAGGGGUGGGCAACCCGUUGAACCUCCUUCGUGCUGGGGAUUGGGGUUUGCAAUUAUCCCCCAUGAACGAGGAAUUCCCAGUAAGCGCGAGUCAUCAGCUCGCGUUGAUUACGUCCCUGCCCUUUGUACACACCGCCCGUCGCUACUACCGAUUGGAUGGUUUAGUGAGACCCUCGGAUCGGUCCCGACUCGGGGUGGGCUUCUGCCCCGGUCGUGGUUUCGCCGAGAAGACGGUCAAACUUGACUAUCUAGAGGAAGUAAAAGUCGUAACA